RNAcentral lists this ribosomal RNA (512 nucleotides) under Dacus punctatifrons. RNAcentral describes it as "partial 16S ribosomal RNA". The stretch from base 388 to 512 matches the Rfam family "Bacterial large subunit ribosomal RNA", at positions 2473 to 2597 of the family's 2925-position model. The record is from RNAcentral. Lineage: Eukaryota; Metazoa; Arthropoda; Insecta; Diptera; Tephritidae.
GUCUUUUUGAGUUAUUUUUAAAGUCUGACCUGCCCACUGAGUUUUAAAUGGCCGCAGUAUUUUAACUGUGCAAAGGUAGCAUAAUCAUUAGUCUUUUAAUUGAAGGCUGGUAUGAACGGUUGGACGAGGUAUAAGCUGUUUCAUAUAAAAUUAUAAUAGAAUUUUAUAUUUUAGUUAAAAAGCUAAAAUAUAAUUAAAAGACGAGAAGACCCUAUAAAUCUUUAUACUUUAGAUAAUUUAAAUUUUUUGGGUUUAUUUUAUUUUUAUUAUAUUGAGUAUUUUGUUGGGGUGAUAUUAAAAUUUAAUGAACUUUUAAUUGUGGUUUAAAUCAUUAAUUUAUGAAUUGUUGAUCCAUUAAUAGUGAUUAUAAGAUUAAGUUACUUUAGGGAUAACAGCGUAAUUUUUUUGGAGAGUUCAUAUCGAUAAAAAAGUUUGCGACCUCGAUGUUGGAUUAAGAUAUAAUUUUAGGUGUAGUCGCUUAAAUGUUAAGUCUGUUCGACUUUUAAAUUCUU